CGGUAAAUAGAUGGCCAUAAAACAGUGACCGCUGAUUCGCGUCGAGUUCUUUCUUGCAUAACGUAGAGAAAUGUCUGGGACUUAGCCGAGGGCAACUGGAGAAGGGUUGUUGAUGGCAAAACAGGUUGGAGACUACAUGAGACUUUGACAGAUGGCGGGAAACCCAAUUCAACUGCCAGUAAUGCCUUGGAGUGCCUUGCAACCAAAGAUGAGUUUAUAGAUCAGGGGAGGGAACUCUCACCAGAGGAGGCGGAAAUACAGAAGGCUGUAGUUGGUCCCUGUAUGAACAUUGUAUCCGGAUGUGUGCAAAUCUGCAAAUCUCUCCGUGACUACACAUACGAUCCAAUGUACACAAAAAACGCUCUUGCCAGUCUUGCAUAGUCAAAUGUACAAAGCAACUCAAACACGA
This is a long non-coding RNA of Dreissena polymorpha, 409 nucleotides long. RefSeq lists it as uncharacterized. The transcript has 5 exons. Lineage: Eukaryota; Metazoa; Mollusca; Bivalvia; Myida; Dreissenidae. The record is from RefSeq and is a predicted model, not a curated record.